This 725-nucleotide ribosomal RNA is filed under the name uncultured archaeon. Its description in RNAcentral is "bacterial SSU rRNA". It matches the Rfam family "Archaeal small subunit ribosomal RNA", at positions 152 to 880 of the family's 1478-position model. The record is from RNAcentral.
CGCGAUAAGUCACUACUUCUGGAAUGGGUAAUGACUCAAAUCUACAUGGCCCCUGGAUUGGACUGCGGCCGAUCAGGCUGUUGGUGAGGUAAUGGCCCACCAAACCUGUAACCGGUGCGGGCUCUGAGAGGAGGAGCCCGGAGAUGGGCACUGAGACAAGGGCCCAGGCCCUAUGGGGCGCAGCAGGCGCGAAACCUCUGCAAUAGGCGAAAGCCUGACAGGGUUACUCUGAGUGAUUUCCGUUAAGGAGAUCUUUUGGCACCUCUAAAAAUGGUGCAGAAUAAGGGGUGGGCAAGUCUGGUGUCAGCCGCCGCGGUAAUACCAGCACCCCGAGUGGUCGGGACGUUUAUUGGGCCUAAAGCAUCCGUAGCCGGUUCUACAAGUCUUCCGUUAAAUCCACCUGCUUAACAGAUGGGCUGCGGAAGAUACUAUAGAGCUAGGAGGCGGGAGAGGCAAGCGGUACUCGAUGGGUAGGGGUAAAAUCCGUUGAUCCAUUGAAGACCACCAGUGGCGAAGGCGGCUUGCCAGAACGCGCUCGACGGUGAGGGAUGAAAGCUGGGGGAGCAAACCGGAUUAGAUACCCGGGUAGUCCCAGCUGUAAACGAUGCAGACUCGGUGAUGAAUUGGCUUUAUGCCAAUUCAGUGCCGCAGGGAAGCCGUUAAGUUUGCCGCCUGGGGAGUACGGUCGCAAGACUGAAACUUAAAGGAAUUGGCGGGGGAGCACA